GAUGAAGAACGUAGCGAAAUGCGAUACGUAAUGUGAAUUGCAGAAUUCAGUGAAUCAUCGAGUCUUUGAACGCACAUUGCGCCCCCUGGUAUUCCGGGGGGCAUGCCUGUCCGAGCGUCAUUGCUGCCCUCAAGCACGGCUUGUGUGUUGGGCCUCCGUCCUCCUCCCGGGGGACGGGCCCGAAAGGCAGCGGCGGCACCGCGUCCGGUCCUCGAGCGUAUGGGGCUUCGUCACCCGCUCUUGUAGGCCCGGCCGGCGCUUGCCGACACAUCAAUCUUUUUUCCAGGUUGACCUCGGAUCAGGUAGGGAUACCCGGUGAACUUAAGCAUAUCAAUAAGCGGAGGA
This 345-nucleotide unclassified non-coding RNA is filed under the name soil metagenome. Its description in RNAcentral is "partial contains 5.8S ribosomal RNA, internal transcribed spacer 2, and large subunit ribosomal RNA". The stretch from base 1 to 120 matches the Rfam family "5.8S ribosomal RNA", at positions 35 to 154 of the family's 154-position model. The record is from RNAcentral.